This 225-nucleotide ribosomal RNA is filed under the name uncultured bacterium. RNAcentral describes it as "partial 16S ribosomal RNA". It matches the Rfam family "Bacterial small subunit ribosomal RNA", at positions 523 to 746 of the family's 1533-position model. The record is from RNAcentral.
UAGCGAAGGGUGCAAGCGUUACUCGGAAUUACUGGGCGUAAAGCGUGCGUAGGUGGUUCGUUAAGUCUGAUGUGGAAGCCCUGGGCUCAACCUAGGAACUGCAUUGGAUACUGGCGAUCUGGAGUGCGGUAGAGGGUGGCGGAAUUCCCGGUGUAGCAGUGAAAUGCGUAGAUAUCGGGAGGAACAUCCGUGGCGAAGGCGGCCGACCUGGACCAGCACUGACAC